This is a non-coding RNA of Spinacia oleracea (spinach), 140 nucleotides long. The record is from Rfam. NCBI's taxonomy places the organism in Eukaryota, Viridiplantae, Streptophyta, Magnoliopsida, Caryophyllales, Amaranthaceae.
CGGCGCCUGAUCACGCCGUAGUCUGAUUGCUGGCUCGUCCCCCGCCGCAUCAGACCGGACAAAGGCCUUUCCCCCUCUCCGGGCCUUUGUCCUCCAAUAUGACCGCCAUGGCCGAUCCCUCCCGGCCAUGGCGGUUUUAC